UACAGAGGGUGCGAACGUUGUUCGGAAUCACUGGGCAUAAAGCGCACGUAGGCGGCACCGCAAGUGUGGAGUGAAAUCCCACGGCUUACCCGUGGAACUGCUUGGCAGACUGCGGUGCUAGAGGUUGGUAGGGGAGAGCGGAACUCUUGGUGGAGCGGUGAAAUGCGUAGAUAUCAAGAGGAACACCGGUGGCGAAGGCGGCUCUCUGGUCCAAUCCUGACGCUGAGGUGCGAAAGCGUGGGGAGCAAACAGG
Molecule: ribosomal RNA, 253 nt
Filed under: uncultured bacterium
Lineage: Bacteria
Description: partial 16S ribosomal RNA
Rfam family: Bacterial small subunit ribosomal RNA
Source: RNAcentral